This 443-nucleotide ribosomal RNA is filed under the name uncultured bacterium. RNAcentral describes it as "partial 16S ribosomal RNA". It matches the Rfam family "Bacterial small subunit ribosomal RNA", at positions 338 to 795 of the family's 1533-position model. The record is from RNAcentral.
CCUACGGGUGGCUGCAGUGGGGGAUAUUGGACAAUGGGGGGAACCCUGAUCCAGCGACGCCGCGUGAGUGAAGAAGUAUUUCGGUAUGUAAAGCUCUGUCAGCAGGGAAGAAAGCAAUGACUGUACCUGACCAAGAAGCCCCGGCUAACUACGUGCCAGCAGCCGCGGUACUACGUAGGGGGCAAGCGUUAUCCGCAAUUACUGGGUGUAAUGGGAGCGUAGACGGCGGGGCAAGUCUGGAGUGAAAGGCGGGGGCCCAACCCCCGUAAUGCUAUGGACACUGGAUGGCUUGAGUGCAGGAGAGGGAAGCGGAAUUCCUAGUGUAGCGGUGAAAUGCGUAGAGAUGAGGAGGAACACCAGAGGCGAAGGCGGCUUACUGGACUGGAACUGACGUUGAGGCUCGAAAGCGUGGGGAGCAAACAGGAUGAGAUACCCCGGUAGUC